AAGUCGUAACAAGGUUUCCGUAGGUGAACCUGCGGAAGGAUCAUUACCGAACCGUCGACACGAGUUGUUGCUGGUCCUCAAAUGGGGGCAUGUGCACACUCUGUUUACUCAUCCACUCACACCUGUGCACCCACUGUAGUUCUGUGGCUUGGGGGGCUCUGUCCUCUUUGCUGUGGUUCUAUGUCUUUACACACACACUGUAAUAAAGUUUCAUGGAAUGCAUGACGCGUCUAACGCAAUACAAUACAACUUUCAGCAACGGAUCUCUUGGCUCUCGCAUCGAUGAAGAACGCAGCGAAAUGCGAUAAGUAAUGUGAAUUGCAGAAUUCAGUGAAUCAUCGAAUCUUUGAACGCACCUUGCGCCCUCUGGCUAUUCCAGAGGGCAUGCCUGUUUGAGUAUCAUGAACACCUCAACUCUCAUGGUUUUGCCGUGAUGAGCUUGGACUUUGGGGGUCUUGCUGGCCUGUGGUCAGCUCCUCUCAAACGAAUCAGCUUGCCAGUGUCUGGUGGCAUCACAGGUGUGAUAACUAUCUACGCUUGUGGUUUUCCACCAGGUAACCUUCAGUGAUGGAGGUUCGCUGGAGCUCAUAAAUGUCCCUCCUCAGCGAGGACAGCUUCUUGAAUGUUUGAUCUCAAAUCAGGUAGGGCUACCCGCUGAACUUAA
Molecule: ribosomal RNA, 664 nt
Filed under: uncultured Tomentella
Lineage: Eukaryota; Fungi; Basidiomycota; Agaricomycetes; Thelephorales; Thelephoraceae
Description: eukaryotic LSU rRNA
Rfam family: 5.8S ribosomal RNA (bases 248-402)
Source: RNAcentral